Gambusia affinis (western mosquitofish) is the source of this 2265-nucleotide long non-coding RNA. RefSeq lists it as uncharacterized. Lineage: Eukaryota; Metazoa; Chordata; Actinopteri; Cyprinodontiformes; Poeciliidae. The record is from RefSeq and is a predicted model, not a curated record. The transcript has 3 exons.
UUCUCUUUGUGAAUUGAUUUUGCCUAAUUUGGAUUCUAAAACUUAAAAAAAAAAAAAAAAAGGGAAAAAAAACCCAGAACAAAACUCAAACAGUGCCUGUAAGCAGUAUCAGAUGGCCAUUCAUUACCAAACCGUUGUUUUUUCUUCUUUUUCUUUUUUUUUCUUUUUGUAAAGCAACAUGUUUGUUCUUUGGUAGAGAAUUGUUUUAAUUUGUCAUUUUGGAGGAACUGCUUUGACCUGAUCCCUGGACGGCAGGUCUGGAAAAGCCCAGUGUGGAAUAUGGGAGCAGGAAGGACAAGAAAGAUGGAACAGACUCUCAGGGAGGAGAGACUCCGCCUGCAGCGAUUGCCUCACUCCGCAUGGGCCACCAUCCCUCUCUGGAUCACCUUUGCAACGAUCAUUCCCUCUUCAUCCUCUUCUUCUUCUUGGAACCAAAAUGCUUUGCUAAAGCUGGUAAAAUGGAACCAAAUCAACUGUUCAAUGGAUUUGGUCCCCUUCAACCAGCUGUAGCUGUGCAUUGAUCACUCCGAAGAGCCGACUGACAGCCACGCAGUGGGACUAAAGCGACGCCUCUUUCUCCUCUCCACACAUAAACUCAUUGUCGUGUGUUUCUCAGCACCGGCGACUGUGUGCAUUUAUCUCUGUUAAAAAGAUUACCACAAGCAAUUUACUUAAUCUGACUUAAACAAGCCAAGUGAGUAAUUAUAGAUAUCUUAGUGCAUGCAUUGUUAUGCCGUGUAAAGCUGUAACUGUAUUGUCCUUUGGAGAAUUGAAUUGUUCUUUGGAGAUUUUCCCCAAAAGUCUACUGAGAGGCGGAGUUAUUAAGAAGCGAAACGGCUGAAACUGUGUGAGAGAGAUGCUCAGGUUUGUGUGCUUAUGUGUCUACUAAAUUAAUAAAGCCUUAUUCCGAACUUCAAAACCAACUAAGUAUGUGCUUACAAAGCGCUGGAGCUCAUAAGUGAUAAAGUUGUUCUCUGAGUGAUCGUGAUGUUUUUAAUAAGAACACGACUGGGAUCCAGCUGGUUCCUGGGCAUAAAUUACAUCCAAAGUUUUAUUGACAUUAACAGCAUGCUGAGCGGCAGAUUUAUGCAAGAUCAACGCAAUCAUUAUCAGUGGAAAUUGUUCUCAGUUACGCCUGCGGUUUUUCAUGCCUUCGUGAUAAAAACCUGUUUUCAGCGUUCCUGGUUAAGACGUGUAUAUUUACACUUACCAAAUCUAAGACUUUUGCACAUGGCAAAGGGCUUAAAUUUUAAGUAGAUUGAUGUAGUUGGGGAAUAAAAAUCACUUCUGAUACAGUUAAUAUCUUCCAGGUCGGUCACCAGUGCUUCACCGUUCAACAGUAGAGCCGUUUUGUGUUGGUACUCCCUAUAGCAGCUGCUAUCAGUCACUUUAAGUUGCAUCUUUUCCAACUCUAGACAGGACUAUGAUGUAGCACAUGUCAUUUUGGUAACCGUUAAGAGUCUAAAAUAUCUAAAUGAUCUGAUAGUUUUAAGCGUUAAUCCUCUCCAGAAAAGUGGUUUUAGUCAGAGUGUCUUUUCGGCCCUUCAGACAGUCAGAGCUUUGACCACUUAAAAAUCAAUCGGAAAAAACAAUUAAAGAAUUUGUUCGUAACAUAUCAGAUCUGUCAACAUUUUGAAUAAUAAUGUGGGUUCUCAUAAUCCCACCAUGUGACCAUAGGUACCUUGCCAUCUAAGUGACGGAUUAGUUUAGUGUGAAUCAAUUCUCAUACUUUUUAUGACAACUGUGUCGUAGUUUCCUCGUUUUGUUUUGUGUUUUUGACAGAAUUUGUGUAGUAAAGUCACAUCAGGCUUGUAUAACCUUUGUUUUUAACAUUGUCCACGGAUGACAAAUGAAAAAUUGCCCUUUGAUAAAAAAUAGCCUUUUGACUAAUUUUGGUGCAUUUAAACAAAUGUUAAUUAAUACGUCUUUUCCCUGCCUAAUAAAUGAAAUUAAAUUGUCCGUAAAAAAAUCUAAGACAAGUAGAAGAAACACUCAAACCUUUGACACCUAGCAUAAAGCGCUACCUUUCUUUACCUUUCAAUAACAAGAGACAUGCUGGCAUAACAUUAUAAUUACAUAUCAAUAGAAGACACUUUAAAGAAAGUUUGUAAAAACUUAUUUCAGUUAUUGAAUGUCAUUUUUUAUAAAUGUUUUCAAGUGUUUGCGAAUGUUCCCUUGUAGAUGUAUGCAAAGUGAGUUGUAAUUGUAUGUGGGCUGGCUACCAUACUAUGGUGCGUGACAUGAUGAAUAAAAAAUCAAAUCAUA